Molecule: transfer RNA, 67 nt
Filed under: Stenopsyche navasi
Lineage: Eukaryota; Metazoa; Arthropoda; Insecta; Trichoptera; Stenopsychidae
Description: tRNA-Glu
Rfam family: tRNA
About the family: Transfer RNA (tRNA) molecules are approximately 80 nucleotides in length. Their secondary structure includes four short double-helical elements and three loops (D, anti-codon, and T loops). Further hydrogen bonds mediate the characteristic L-shaped molecular structure. tRNAs have two regions of fundamental functional importance: the anti-codon, which is responsible for specific mRNA codon recognition, and the 3' end, to which the tRNAs corresponding amino acid is attached (by aminoacyl-tRNA synthetases). tRNAs cope with the degeneracy of the genetic code in two manners: having more than one tRNA (with a specific anti-codon) for a particular amino acid; and 'wobble' base-pairing, i.e. permitting non-standard base-pairing at the 3rd anti-codon position.
Source: RNAcentral
AUUUAUAUAGUUUAUCUAAAACAUUACAUUUUCACUGUAAAAAUAUAGGCCUUUAUUAUUAUAAAUA